CCUACGGGCGGCACCAGUGGGGAACUUUCCGCAAUGGGCGAAAGCCUGACGGAGCAAUGCCGCGCGGAGGUAGAAGGCCCACGGGUCGUGAACUUCUUUUCUCGGAGAAGAAACAAUGACGGUAUCUGAGGAAUAAGCAUCGGCUAAUUCUGUGCCAGCAGCCGCGGUAAGACAGAGGAUGCAAGCGUUAUCCGGAAUGAUUGGGCGUAAAGCGUCUGUAGGUGGCUUUUCAAGUCCGCCGUCAAAUCCCAGGGCUCAACCCUGGACAGGCGGUGGAGACUACCAAGCUGGAGUACGGUAGGGGCAGAGGGAAUUUCCGGUGGAGCGGUGAAAUGCGUAGAGAUCGGAAAGAACACCAACGGCGAAAGCACUCUGCUGGGCCGACACUGACACUGAGAGACGAAAGCUAGGGGAGCAAAUGGGAUUAGAUACCCCAGUAGUC
This 442-nucleotide ribosomal RNA is filed under the name uncultured bacterium. Its description in RNAcentral is "bacterial SSU rRNA". It matches the Rfam family "Bacterial small subunit ribosomal RNA", at positions 338 to 795 of the family's 1533-position model. The record is from RNAcentral.